CCUACGGGAGGCAGCAGUGGGGAAUUUUGGACAAUGGGCGCAAGCCUGAUCCAGCCAUGCCGCGUGCAGGAUGAAGGCCUUCGGGUUGUAAACUGCUUUUGUACGGAACGAAAAGACUCCUUCUAAUAAAGGGGGUCCAUGACGGUACCGUAAGAAUAAGCACCGGCUAACUACGUGCCAGCAGCCGCGGUAAUACGUAGGGUGCGAGCGUUAAUCGGAAUUACUGGGCGUAAAGCGUGCGCAGGCGGUUAUAUAAGACAGAUGUGAAAUCCCCGGGCUCAACCUGGGAACUGCAUUUGUGACUGUAUAGCUAGAGUACGGUAGAGGGGGAUGGAAUUCCGCGUGUAGCAGUGAAAUGCGUAGAUAUGCGGAGGAACACCGAUGGCGAAGGCAAUCCCCUGGACCUGUACUGACGCUCAUGCACGAAAGCGUGGGGAGCAAACAGGAUUAGAUACCCUGGUAGUCCACGCCCUAAACGAUGUCAACUGGUUGUUGGGUCUUCACUGACUCAGUAACGAAGCUAACGCG
Molecule: ribosomal RNA, 528 nt
Filed under: uncultured bacterium
Lineage: Bacteria
Description: bacterial SSU rRNA
Rfam family: Bacterial small subunit ribosomal RNA
Source: RNAcentral